Molecule: long non-coding RNA, 880 nt
Organism: Salvia miltiorrhiza (redroot sage)
Lineage: Eukaryota; Viridiplantae; Streptophyta; Magnoliopsida; Lamiales; Lamiaceae
Exons: 2
Source: RefSeq, a predicted model, not a curated record
GAGGGAGGCCCCGGAUCCGGCGAUUUCGCCGGAGCUGGAGGCGGCCGGCGUGGAGCUCGGGAGGGAAGGCGGAGGUUCUGGAGAAAAGGGGGGGGAGGCGAGAGAGGGAGAGAGAAGCGUGAGUAGAGAGAGAGGAAGAUUGACUUGUUUUGUUUUAAUUACCUUUAGGUUUAUUUAAGCUUUGUUUGGGCCUCAUUUCAUAAUAAUCUGAUGGGCUUUUCUUUUCUUCUUUAUGGGCCGAUUUUAAUGAGCUGGUGGGCUGAUUUUAUUAAUUUUCAUGGGAUCUACAUUCUUAAUAUAAUACUUGGGCUGCAUUAUUAAUAACAAGUCUUCAAAUUAUUUUCUUUGGGCUUUAAAUAUUAUUUUGGACCUGUAAAUGUUUUAAUAAAAAUAUUAAUUUUUCUCCCAAGAAGAAGAUUCUAUAUUUUCUUUAAAUGAUUAAUAAUUUUUAGAUUUAGUGUUAAUUAUAUUUGUUAAAAUUACUAAUUAUGUAUUAAAAGUUUAUGGAUUCACAGAGAUUAUUAAUUCGGGCAAAGUGUAUCAAUAGUUAGUGAUUUUCCCCUCUUUAUUUAGAAGUUAGAAUAGCACCAAGAGACCUAUUGAGAAUAGAUUUCUUGUAGGCCUUGAGGACCAGGAGGAUUAGCACUGCUUUCCCGUGACAGGUUUACGAUUAAACUACAGGCUUUGCCUAUUCAGGUUGAUCGGUUGAUGCAGACGGGGCUGAGCUGAGCUAGGCACCACAUUGUCUUUUGCUUCCGCUAAUGACUAGCUUGUCAUCUCGUCUUUUAAAUUCCCUAAACUGAGAAUUUCUAUUAUAUGGUACAAUUGUUGGGUUUAGACUCUUAACCCAUACUCCUAUUAAUGAAGCUAUCAUUGAAUA